GUGCUCGCUUCGGCAGCACAUACACUAAAAUUGGAACCAUACAGAGAAGAUUAGCAUGGCCCCUGCGCGAGGAUGACACGCAGAUUCGUGAAGCGUUCCAUAUUUUU
RNAcentral lists this small nuclear RNA (107 nucleotides) under Suricata suricatta (meerkat). The record is from RNAcentral. Lineage: Eukaryota; Metazoa; Chordata; Mammalia; Carnivora; Herpestidae.